RNAcentral lists this long non-coding RNA (783 nucleotides) under Rattus norvegicus (Norway rat). RNAcentral's name for it is "long non-coding RNA NONRATT019954". The record is from RNAcentral. Lineage: Eukaryota; Metazoa; Chordata; Mammalia; Rodentia; Muridae.
UUGUUCAUACAUACUUCCUUUGAUGCUGCAGUCCUUUGAGGUUCUAGAACCUUCUAGGCCUAACAAGAUAGGUGAUUUGUCUUAACGUUUGUGGUUAAGUUGCCACUGUGUGAGUGCUGUGUUUUAGAGAAAAAUAGUUGGAGGGAGGUGGCAUUCUCUUACACAGAGCUGAAGGAUUGGCCACCCAAAUUUCUUUGUCUUAGUAUGUUUUUACUAACUCCCACAGGGAUCCCUAUAGCUUUGGAGAUAGUCGAGAUACAAGGCGUGAUCGCUCUCCAAUUCGAGGAAGUCCAAGGAGAGAACCCAGGGAUGGCAGAAAUGGCCGGGAUACCCGGGAUAGAGACAUUCGAGACCCUCGGGAGUUGCGGGACCGCAGAGACAGCAGGGACAUUCGGGAUCACAGAGACAGCAGAAGUGUACGUGAAGCCCGGGACCUGAGGGAUUUUCGGGACUUUCGUGAUCUAAGAGACUCUAGAGAUUUUCGAGAUCAUCGAGACCCCGUGUAUGACAGAUACAGAGAAAUAAGAGACUCCAGAGACCCUUUGUACAGGAGAGAAGGCUCUUAUGACCGGUAUCUGAGGGUGGAUGACUAUUGCCGGAGAAAGGAUGACUCUUACUUUGACCGGUACAGAGACAGCUUUGAUGGACGGGGCCCUCCUGGCCCAGAGAGCCAGUCUCGUGCAAAAGAGCGUUUGAAACGUGAGGAACGACGUAGAGAGGAGCUUUAUCGUCGGUAUUUUGAGGAGAUCCAGCGGCGCUUUGAUGCUGAGAGGCCUGUGGAUU